GACGAACGCUGGCGGCGUGCUUAACACAUGCAAGUCGAGCGGUAAGGCCUCCUUUGGGGGUACGACGAGCGGCGAACGGGUGAGUAACACGUGGGUGACCUGCCCUCCAGCUCUGGGAGUAAGCCUGGGAAACGUAGGGUCGUAAUACUGGAUAUGACUCCACGGUGCAUGUCGUGGGGUGGAAAGCCUUGUGCGGCUGAGGA
Molecule: ribosomal RNA, 203 nt
Filed under: uncultured bacterium
Lineage: Bacteria
Description: partial 16S ribosomal RNA
Rfam family: Bacterial small subunit ribosomal RNA
Source: RNAcentral